This 466-nucleotide ribosomal RNA is filed under the name Acanthamoeba genotype T4. Its description in RNAcentral is "SSU rRNA". It matches the Rfam family "Eukaryotic small subunit ribosomal RNA", at positions 739 to 1101 of the family's 1831-position model. The record is from RNAcentral. Lineage: Eukaryota; Discosea; Longamoebia; Acanthamoebidae.
UGGCCCAGAUCGUUUACCGUGAAAAAAUUAGAGUGUUCAAAGCAGGCAGAUCCAAUUUUCUGCCACCGAAUACAUUAGCAUGGGAUAAUGGAAUAGGACCCUGUCCUCCUAUUUUCAGUUGGUUUUGGCAGCGCGAGGACUAGGGUAAUGAUUAAUAGGGAUAGUUGGGGGCAUUAAUAUUUAAUUGUCAGAGGUGAAAUUCUUGGAUUUAUGAAAGAUUAACUUCUGCGAAAGCAUCUGCCAAGGAUGUUUUCAUUAAUCAAGAACGAAAGUUAGGGGAUCGAAGACGAUCAGAUACCGUCGUAGUCUUAACCAUAAACGAUGCCGACCAGCGAUUAGGAGACGUUGAAUACAAAACACCACCAUCGGUGCGGUCAUCCUUGGCGUUGGUCUUCAAAAGCCAGCGCGGGGGUGGCUUAGCCCGGUGGCACCGGUGAAUGACUCCCCUAGCAGCUUGUGAGAACCA